UACGUAGGGGGCUAGCGUUAUCCGGAAUUACUGGGCGUAAAGGGUGCGUAGGCGGACUGUCAAGUCAGCGGUAAAAUUGAGAGGCUCAACCUCUUCCCGCCGUUGAAACUGGUGGUCUUGAGUGGAUGAGAAGUACGCGGAAUGCGUGGUGUAGCGGUGAAAUGCAUAGAUAUCACGCAGAACUCCGAUUGCGAAGGCAGCGUACCGGCAUCCAACUGACGCUGAGGCACGAAAGCGUGGGGAUCAAACAGG
This 252-nucleotide ribosomal RNA is filed under the name uncultured bacterium. RNAcentral's name for it is "partial 16S ribosomal RNA". It matches the Rfam family "Bacterial small subunit ribosomal RNA", at positions 524 to 776 of the family's 1533-position model. The record is from RNAcentral.